RNAcentral lists this ribosomal RNA (253 nucleotides) under uncultured bacterium. RNAcentral describes it as "partial 16S ribosomal RNA". It matches the Rfam family "Bacterial small subunit ribosomal RNA", at positions 524 to 776 of the family's 1533-position model. The record is from RNAcentral.
UACGAAGGGGGCUAGCGUUGUUCGGAAUUACUGGGCGUAAAGGGCGCGUAGGCGGGUUAUCAAGUUGGAGGUGAAAGCCCAGGGCUCAACCUUGGAAUUGCCUUCAAAACUGAUAGCCUAGAGUAUGAUAGAGGUAUGUGGAACUCCGAGUGUAGAGGUGAAAUUCGUAGAUAUUCGGAAGAACACCAGUGGCGAAGGCGACAUACUGGGUCAUGACUGACGCUGAGGCUCGAAAGCGUGGGGAGCAAACAGG